AGAGGAGACGAGUGCUCUAAACCAGUAUCAUGGCUCCAGUUCCUCUGACAAGGAUUCACAUGGGGUUGCAAUUCUGACUGUGCUGGUGAUGCUGGUUCCAGGUCCCUCAGGAACCCCUCCCCCAGUCUGGUCUGCCCUUGAACUCUAUACUGGCCCCAGGGUAUCCCAGGAUUGUCAGAAAGGCCUGGCCAGGAUUCACCUGGGAGAGGGAUCAGCAUCUCUGCAAAGUUGUUGGAUUGAAAGAACUUUCAUUUUGAGCUACAUCAUUGAAGAGCUUUAAAUCUGAAAAUAAGAAAGACGUUGAACCCUAUUACUCACAUCUCUUUGUCAUUUGAAGCAGAUCCCGAACCACUCAAAAGGACAAAACAAGGAAAUAGCAAUGAAAUUGGAUUCAGUGAAUGGGGUAAGGGUAUUAAGUGUCUGAAAUAUAAGAGAUAAAAAAAUUAGUUUUUACCUUUUUUUCUAUUUUCUAAAUGUUUUGGUGGCUAGAAUAAGAUAUACUUUGAACUCAAGAGCAAUAAAUGUUAAUAUAUUAAAAGUAGCUUUAUGAAAUAUGGAAAGUAUCUUUAUUUCAAAAUACUUCAAAGUAAUCAUCUGAAUAUUUAUCAGAAAUAUUAAGACAACUUAUUAAAUCCUGUAUUAAAAUGAUUGCUUAUUACUUUUUGUUUAUACUAGUCAGAAGUGAUUCUCUUCCACAUUUUAGAUUUUUCAGAGUAAAAAGGAUAUAAUUUUAGACUUUCAAUUGAAUAUAAACUGGGGUUUUUCCACACGAUUUGUGGACAUGGCUGUCUGAUGGUGACUCUUAGGUAUUUAUGCUAAAAAUGUUAUUUUGGGGAUCCUUGGGAAUGGACUCUGAUAUUUAUUUAUUUAUUUAUUUAUUU
RNAcentral lists this long non-coding RNA (881 nucleotides) under Homo sapiens (human). RNAcentral's name for it is "non-protein coding NCK1-DT:30". The record is from RNAcentral. Lineage: Eukaryota; Metazoa; Chordata; Mammalia; Primates; Hominidae.